Molecule: ribosomal RNA, 119 nt
Organism: Petromyzon marinus (sea lamprey)
Lineage: Eukaryota; Metazoa; Chordata; Hyperoartia; Petromyzontiformes; Petromyzontidae
Source: Ensembl
GCUUACGACCAUCUCACCCUGAAUGUGCCCGAUCUCGUCUGAUCUCGGAAGGUAAGCAGAGUCGAGCCUGGUUAGUACUUGAAUGGGAGACUGCCUGGGAAUACCAGGUGUUGUAUGCU